Molecule: ribosomal RNA, 1526 nt
Filed under: Porphyromonas gingivalis
Lineage: Bacteria; Pseudomonadati; Bacteroidota; Bacteroidia; Bacteroidales; Porphyromonadaceae
Description: Bacterial small subunit ribosomal RNA
Rfam family: Bacterial small subunit ribosomal RNA
Source: RNAcentral
UGGAGAGUUUGAUCCUGGCUCAGGAUGAACGCUAGCGAUAGGCUUAACACAUGCAAGUCGAGGGGCAGCAUGAUCUUAGCUUGCUAAGGUUGAUGGCGACCGGCGCACGGGUGCGUAACGCGUAUGCAACUUGCCUUACAGAGGGGGAUAACCCGUUGAAAGACGGACUAAAACCGCAUACACUUGUAUUAUUGCAUGAUAUUACAAGGAAAUAUUUAUAGCUGUAAGAUAGGCAUGCGUCCCAUUAGCUUGUUGGUGAGGUAACGGCUCACCAAGGCGACGAUGGGUAGGGGAACUGAGAGGUUUAUCCCCCACACUGGUACUGAGACACGGACCAGACUCCUACGGGAGGCAGCAGUGAGGAAUAUUGGUCAAUGGGCGAGAGCCUGAACCAGCCAAGUCGCGUGAAGGAAGACAGUCCUAAGGAUUGUAAACUUCUUUUAUACGGGAAUAACGGGCGAUACGAGUAUUGCAUUGAAUGUACCGUAAGAAUAAGCAUCGGCUAACUCCGUGCCAGCAGCCGCGGUAAUACGGAGGAUGCGAGCGUUAUCCGGAUUUAUUGGGUUUAAAGGGUGCGUAGGUUGUUCGGUAAGUCAGCGGUGAAACCUGAGCGCUCAACGUUCAGCCUGCCGUUGAAACUGCCGGGCUUGAGUUCAGUGGCGGCAGGCGGAAUUCGUGGUGUAGCGGUGAAAUGCAUAGAUAUCACGAGGAACUCCGAUUGCGAAGGCAGCUUGCCAUACUGCGACUGACACUGAAGCACGAAGGCGUGGGUAUCAAACAGGAUUAGAUACCCUGGUAGUCCACGCAGUAAACGAUGAUUACUAGGAGUUUGCGAUAUACCGUCAAGCUUCCACAGCGAAAGCGUUAAGUAAUCCACCUGGGGAGUACGCCGGCAACGGUGAAACUCAAAGGAAUUGACGGGGGCCCGCACAAGCGGAGGAACAUGUGGUUUAAUUCGAUGAUACGCGAGGAACCUUACCCGGGCUUGAACCAGGAGUGAGGAGUGCAGAGAUGCACUUUUUCUUCGGACACUUUUGGAGGUGCUGCAUGGUUGUCGUCAGCUCGUGCCGUGAGGUGUCGGCUUAAGUGCCAUAACGAGCGCAACCCCUUUCUUCAGUUGCCAUCAGGUUAUGCUGGGCACUCUGGAGACACUGCCACCGUAAGGUGUGAGGAAGGUGGGGAUGACGUCAAAUCAGCACGGCCCUUACGUCCGGGGCUACACACGUGUUACAAUGGCCGGUACAGAGGGAAGGUGCAAUGCAAGUUGCAUCCAAUCUUGAAAUCCGGUCCCAGUUCGGACUGGGGUCUGCAACCCGACUCCACGAAGCUGGAUUCGCUAGUAAUCGCGCAUCAGCCAUGGCGCGGUGAAUACGUUCCCGGGCCUUGUACACACCGCCCGUCAAGCCAUGGGAGUCGGGGGUACCUGAAGGGCGUAACCGCAAGGGGCGCACUAGGGUAAUACCGGUGACUGGGGCUAAGUCGUAACAAGGUAGCCGUACCGGAAGGUGCGGCUGGAACACCUCCUU